Molecule: ribosomal RNA, 466 nt
Filed under: Pseudocercospora schizolobii
Lineage: Eukaryota; Fungi; Ascomycota; Dothideomycetes; Mycosphaerellales; Mycosphaerellaceae
Description: eukaryotic LSU rRNA
Rfam family: 5.8S ribosomal RNA (bases 170-323)
Source: RNAcentral
UCCUGCGGAGGGAUCAUUACUGAGUGAGGGCUCACGCCCGACCUCCAACCCUUUGUGAACCAAACUUGUUGCUUCGGGGGCGACCCUGCCGACGACUCCGUCGCCGGGCGCCCCCGGAGGUCUUCUAAACACUGCAUCUUUGCGUCGGAGUUUAAAACAAAUUAAACAAAACUUUCAACAACGGAUCUCUUGGUUCUGGCAUCGAUGAAGAACGCAGCGAAAUGCGAUAAGUAAUGUGAAUUGCAGAAUUCAGUGAAUCAUCGAAUCUUUGAACGCACAUUGCGCCCUUUGGUAUUCCGAAGGGCAUGCCUGUUCGAGCGUCAUUUCACCACUCAAGCCUGGCUUGGUAUUGGGCGUCGCGGUGUUUCCGCGCGCCUUAAAGUCUUCCGGCUGAGCUGUCCGUCUCUAAGCGUUGUGGAUUUUUCAAUUCGCUUCGGAGUGCGGGUGGCCGCGGCCGUUAAAUCUU